GUGACCUGGGUGUAUUUAUUUACUUAUUUGUAUGUGUGAUUGUGCAUGUACAUACACACAUACACACAGAUGCGUGCA
Molecule: microRNA precursor, 78 nt
Filed under: Mus caroli (Ryukyu mouse)
Lineage: Eukaryota; Metazoa; Chordata; Mammalia; Rodentia; Muridae
Description: miRNA (MGP_CAROLIEiJ_G0008123.1)
Source: RNAcentral